UACACUCCUACGGGAGGCAGCAGUAGGGAAUCUUCCACAAUGGGUGCAAACCUGAUGGAGCAAUGCCGCGUGAGUGAAGAAGGUCUUCGGAUCGUAAAGCUCUGUUGUUAGAGAAGAACACGUGCUAGGUAACUACUAGCGCCUUGACGGUAUCUAACCAGAAAGUCACGGCUAACUACGUGCCAGCAGCCGCGGUAAUACGUAGGUGACAAGCGUUGUCCGGAUUUAUUGGGCGUAAAGGGAGCGCAGGCGGUCUGUUUAGUCUAAUGUGAAAGCCCACGGCUUAACCGUGGAACGGCAUUGGAAACUGACAGACUUGAAUGUAGAAGAGGAAAAUGGAAUUCCAAGUGUAGCGGUGGAAUGCGUAGAUAUUUGGAGGAACACCAGUGGCGAAGGCGAUUUUCUGGUCUAACAUUGACGCUGAGGCUCGAAAGCGUGGGGAGCGAACAGGAUUAGAUACCCUAGUAGUCCCAUGA
This 476-nucleotide ribosomal RNA is filed under the name uncultured organism. RNAcentral describes it as "partial 16S ribosomal RNA". It matches the Rfam family "Bacterial small subunit ribosomal RNA", at positions 332 to 800 of the family's 1533-position model. The record is from RNAcentral.